RNAcentral lists this long non-coding RNA (1017 nucleotides) under Olea europaea (common olive). RNAcentral's name for it is "long non-coding RNA (OEUR_LNC014085)". The record is from RNAcentral. Lineage: Eukaryota; Viridiplantae; Streptophyta; Magnoliopsida; Lamiales; Oleaceae.
AUUCUUUUUCUGGCAUUGGACCUGUCGCUGUCGGGUUCAUGAGUACAGCCCACUGGUCAUCCAUAAAAAGCCCACGCUCUCCCUAUUUCUCAGCGCCAGGCACUAGAGAAGAUUUCUAAGCUCAAAUCUCUUAAAGGUACCAAACGUUUAUCAUCCCUUUCUAGCAACUUUUAAGGGUAUAUCUCACAUUUUCUUCAUGCUCGAUUGCAGGUUUUGAAUUAGGGUGAAACCAUUGAGUUACAUGGAUGCAAAUUAUCAUGCAGCCACUAGAGAAGAUUUCUAAGCUCAAAUCUCUUAAAGGUACCAAACGUUUAUCAUCCCUUUCUAGCAACUUUUAAGGGUAUAUCUCACAUUUUCUUCAUGCUCGAUUGCAGGUUUUGAAUUAGGGUGAAACCAUUGAGUUACAUGGAUGCAAAUUAUCAUGCAGCUGCUUGAAAAAGCAGGAAGUCAUUACCAGAAAGAGUGGUUUUUUAUAUGGUUUGGUGACUUCUGCAUCUUAAUUGGGUGCUAUCCUACUGAGCUUUUCUACUCCUUUCUUUCUUUCUUUGUCUGACUUGUGUGUUCUUGACCUUGUAAGACCUUUUCUUGACCUUGUAAGACCUCAUGCCGUGUCUUUUCUUUUUAUUUUGUGUCGUUUUUCAAUUUUUACAGCAGAAUUUUCUGAUGUAGGAUUGGUUGUUCUCCUUCUCCGUUUCCACCCAACUCACUUUCUCCUUUCUUGUCUAUCCCUCCUGAGCUAUUUCGUAUAAAGUAUUCAUAAGCUAAUGCUAUGUAGUAUAUAUUCUUCUGGUAUGGCCAACCGUGUUAGACAGGCAGAAAGCCUGAUAUAUAUAGAAAUGUAUUGAAUUUUGAGGCCCAAGUUUCAUUGUUUUUAUUUUAUGUAUGUUUUUGGUCAGAGAAUUAAGUUGCAAGAAAAUAAAUAUCAUUCCUGCACAUCUGUUAAAAUGGAGUUUUUUUUUCUCGUGACUGCUGGCUCUAAUGUACAAAAUAAAAAUAUAAAUAGACUGCACUCUCUUG